GAUGAACGCUGGCGGCGUGCCUAAUACAUGCAAGUCGAGCGAACGGACGAGAAGCUUGCUUUUCUGAUGUUAGCGGCGGACGGGUGAGUAACACGUGGAUAACCUACCUAUAAGACUGGGAUAACUUCGGGAAACCGGAGCUAAUACCGGAUAAUAUUUUGAACCGCAUGGUUCAAAAGUGAAAGACGGUCUUGCUGCCACUUAUAGAUGGAUCCGCGCUGCAUUAGCUAGUUGGUAAGGUAACGGCUUACCAAGGCAACGAUGCAUAGCCGACCUGAGAGGGUGAUCGGCCACACUGGAACUGAGACACGGUCCAGACUCCUACGGGAGGCAGCAGUAGGGAAUCUUCCGCAAUGGGCGAAAGCCUGACGGAGCAACGCCGCGUGAGUGAUGAAGGUCUUCGGAUCGUAAAACUCUGUUAUUAUGGAAGAACAUAUGUGUAAGUAACUGUGCACAUCUUGACGGUACCUAAUCAGAAAGCCACGGCUAACUACGUG
Molecule: ribosomal RNA, 497 nt
Filed under: uncultured bacterium
Lineage: Bacteria
Description: partial 16S ribosomal RNA
Rfam family: Bacterial small subunit ribosomal RNA
Source: RNAcentral